UGGCGGACGGGUGAGUAACGUCUGGGAAACUGCCCGAUGGAGGGGGGUAACUACUGGAAACGGUAGCUAAUACCGCAUAACGUCGCAAGACCAAAGAGGGGGACCUUCGGGCCUCUUGCCAUCGGAUGUGCCCAGAUGGGAUUAGCUAGUAGGUGGGGUAACGGCUCACCUAGGCGACGAUCCCUAGCUGGUCUGAGAGGAUGACCAGCCACACUGGAACUGAGACACGGUCCAG
This 235-nucleotide ribosomal RNA is filed under the name uncultured bacterium. RNAcentral's name for it is "partial 16S ribosomal RNA". It matches the Rfam family "Bacterial small subunit ribosomal RNA", at positions 96 to 334 of the family's 1533-position model. The record is from RNAcentral.